UUAUAAAUACAAUAAAUAAACUCUAUUAUAUAAUAAUAGAUAGUAAAAACACCUAAAAACCAUUGAUAAAAAUGGGUCAAAUCCAUGGUCUAUCAGAUAUUUUCUCCGGUUGGGAAGCAUCUUUCAAUUCGUAUUAUGCUCUCCCUAGCUAGUGGUGAAUCUUGACUGAGAUAACAAAUGUAUGUCAAGACAACAUUUCUUCGUGGAGAAUUAGAAGAGCGGACCUUAAUGGAAUAGCCAGAAGGUAUUAUAAGGAAAGGAAAUGAGAAUAAAGUUUUCCUGUUGGAGAAGUCGUUGUACGGGUGGAAGCAAUCUCAUAGGCAGUGGAAUUUAAAGUUCGAUGGUUUUAAGCAGAAACAUGAAUUUCAAGGAAGUAAGUUUGAUUCAUGUAUCUAUAUGAAGGAUGUAAACACAGAGAAUGUGAUGUAUUUGUUGUUUUAGGUGGACAACAUGAUCAUAGAUUCUGAAAACAAGCGAGUGAUUAAGGCGCUAAAGGACAGUCUCAGUGGUGAGUUCGAGAUGAAAGAUCUGGGAAAGGAUUCUAUGAUAUUGGGAAUGGAUAUUAUCCCUGGCAGAGAGAAAUGAACAUUGAUACUCUCGCAGCAGAAGAAUUUGGAAAGAUUUUACGACAUUUUGGAAUGUUUGAGGCAAUGUCCGUAAUCACUCCUACGGCUUCACACUUCAAACUAAAGAGUCUACAUCCUAAGGAAAGAGCAGAAGAGUUUGAGCAUAUGACGAAUGUUUCCUACGCUAGUGUGGUUGGCAGCUUGAUGUAUGAUAUGGUUGGGUCACAAUCAGACUUGGGAUUCACAGUUGGAUUGAUCAGCGGGUUCAUGUCACAUCCGAGAAGAGAACAUUGGGAAGCAGCAAAAGUGGGCUCUGAGUUAUGUCAAAGGAGAUUAUGAUCAAUGUUUGACAUUCAGAAAAUGUUCAGAGUUAAGGAUUGAAGGGUUUUAAAACUCAGACAAUGCUACAGAUCUAGAUAAGAGAAGAUCAGUUUUAUGAAUUGUUUUCAAGGUUGGAGGAAACAACGUGUUUUUGAAGUCGGGUUUGAAAUCGGUUGUAGCUCUUUCCACAACAGAGGCAAAGUACAUGGCCCUGACUCUGGCUGUGAAAGAAGCUAUUUGGCUAAAGAGUCUGAACAUAAAUACGAUUUGAGAAACACAUCGUAAGGAUCACUACAAUUUUCAAAUCGCAAUCACAUUAUCCAAAAACACAGUUCAUCAUGAAAGAGCUAAACAUAUGGACACAUGGUUUCAUUUCAUCAGAGACAUCAUAGCUAAAGGCAGGGUUACUCUAUUUAAGAUCCACACAUCUAAAAAUCAUGUAGAUUUCUUAACUAAACAGUAUAUGGUUCUAAGUUCUUGUUGUGCUAUGAUAGUCUCUACAUCGCAUGAAAAAGGAUCGACUCCAGGUAACUUUGCGUAUGUACCUCACAAAACCGAAGUGCAAGAGAUGGAGUUAGUAUUCAAGUCAGAGUCUACUAAUUGAUCGGAGGUACAUAUAUCAAUGCAUGCGAAAUAAAAAGGGAGGUGGAGUUAGCUGAGAGAAUCAAAUUGAGUUUAAGUUGAAAAGGGCAGGUCAAACGAUCAAGGGUGAGAUCGGCUUUCAAUUCUACAAACUCAGGAACAUGAAAGGAGAAAUAUGGGUUAAUAGUCAAGAUCAAAAAGUCAAAAAGAGGAAAGGAAGACAUACAUGCAGCAUAAAUGGUCAGAUCUGAGAAGGCGGUUACUUGAAAGUCAUAUACAGAGUUGUCUUGAACAAGCGGAACUUGCAUCGAGUAGUUCCGAGAAAGUAAACAUGCAAAUCAAAACAGAAGAAGUAAGUUUCGUUCUCGUAUAAAAGAACUUAGAAUCGAUUUAAAACUCAUGAGAUAAAUAAGAAGAAAGGAUUUCUACGUGAGGGAAAGACGCAGUCGCUUUAAAUUGGAGGAGAUGGAUCAAGUUUUCUGUUUGACAGUGAUUUUAGUUGGACAUUUAUAGAGAGAAGGGAGAACGAAGAGGUAGUAGAGAGAAAAACGACCAAAGUGUUUUGAGGGCUGGACUUUACUUUAGUCUACUCCAACUGACUUUGGUACUGGGCUAAGCUGAUAUAAACAGGAGAAGAAGGAAAUCGGACUUCGUCUUGUUUAAGGCCAAUCCAGCUCAACCUGAGCUAUAAAAUCAGCACAAGUGUCUUCGUCAACAAAAAAACGGUCACCUGUAACAGAAGGUGGUUAGUAACAGAACAGAGAGAAAAAGUAGAGGGAGAGUUCUACCUCGGAGAAGAGAUUGACGGAGACAUUGGCGAAGGUUCUCCUACGUCUUCUCCACAGAGGAUACAUUUUCCGGUGAUGCAUUUUCGAAUGUAACAUCAACACUUCAACUCCAGUGUGCUUGUGACGGUGUUUAUAGAAAGUUACUGAAACUCUUUAUUUAUUCUAGUUCAUUGUUUGAGAGUUUUGAUAUCUCCCCGGACAGCAGGAAACAAAAUCCGGAUUACUAAUCUCAGUGUUCUUUCUUUUCUGUUCGUCAUCCAGAUUAAAUAAAAAAACAAAUCGAUAUUAGUAUCAACAAGAAUGUAAACUUAACCUAAGAUCAAGGACAAACAAUCAACAGUCUCACUUAUUUUCUUCUUCUAAUUGUGAAUGAGAAGAUAUAGUAUCUCACUCCUAACCUAAUAUUAAUAUCAUUGGUAACUGAUCCGAACCCAAACUUCUAUUUGUGUUCUCUACAACACCAAACUCACUAAUACAAAUGCAAACUUCUGAAUUCAACACACCAUUGAUUUUGCCACUAGGAAGAAUACCAACAUCAUUCAAACCUUUAAAAUUGUAUGGUCCGUUAUCUAAACCAUGAGAAGGUAGUACUCUGUAUUUUCUCUGUGUGGACGGUGGUACUCUGUAUUGAGGUAAAUAACAAACCCUAAAAACAAUGAAUUUUUUUAAGAGAAAUUACCUAUAAUAACACACAUUUUUUGAAAAAAAUGACUAGACUAACACACAAAAAAAAGAAAAAAAUGAUACUAAAGGUCAGAAAUACCAAAUACACGUGUCUUAAAAGAAUAGUAAAUAAAACCUUUAAACAAAACAUCAGUCCACAGAAAAAAAUCAGACCACGAUUUUCCCCCUUUCUCUCAAUACAUGAACCCUAAAUUCCAAACUGGGGAUUCUUCACCUCUCGAUGCUCAUUUGUUUUUCAUAUGAUUUCUAUUUCUGUCUGACUCUUUCGUGCCGUUCUCUAUCACUAAAACCUUCGGAAUCACAAAGGGAAAGUGAAAUCGAGGUCAAAUCCGACGAACCCUAAAUCACGUUUCCAGAGUCGCGAGUUCCGUCGAAUGACGGGGAACUUAAGGGCGGAAAACUUUUGGCCGAGAACUGGUCGGAAAUAUUUUCAGCUGCUUGCGAGUCACAUGUGUAUGUUUUGCGCCGCCUGCCUGCUUGCUUCAUUUAAAUUGUCAUGUGACUGUCACAAGCUACCUGCCUCCUUGUUCAUUAAAUAAGUCACAUGCUGGUCACAAGCUACUUGCUUCAGCUGCUUGCAGCUUCCUUCAUGGGAAGGAAAAGUUCAGCUGCUUAUGCUGCUUGGUGUGCUGAAGCAUGUCUCCAGAUGUCUAGCCUCAGAUUUGCCUUAUGUCUCCAGCUGUCUAGCCUCAUCUGAAAUAACUCCUUAUGCUUUAAAAUACCUUUUUCUCUCCUCUGGACGUUCAUAACCUGCAGCAUAACAAGAGAAAUUUCAGAGAGAAAGAAAGAAAGAAGAGAGAAAAUUAUGUGAGAAAGAAUUCUUGAAAAAAUUCAGAGAAAAUCAGAGGCGUGAAGUGAGCAUGGAUGACCCUUUCUAACCCUCUUGUACCUUGAAUAAUUGGAUGAAGUGUGUGGUUGAUUUUUAGUUUGUCCAGGAGAUUCAUGAGAUCAAUCCACAACUUAUGAGUCUUGAGUUUGAACCUGUAAAACUACAAUUAGUUUGUUUGGAUAAGUUUGAUCAGAUCAGUUUCAAGGAAGCUUCAUGUCUGAUUAAAACCUAAGCCAUGUUCUGUUUCUGAUCUUAAACCUACCAUUGAACCUUUAUUCUGAUCAGGUCAGCGUGAGUAAAUAUUGAAGGAGAGGAUCAGCUGUGUUCACCAAUCAGUUUAGUAUAGCCGAUGGUCAAGGAGAGUGGUUGGAUCAGCUGGACAUGUCCUUGUGAUCGUUUCAAAUCUGAAGUGUACCGGAAGUGGAAUGUGAUUAGCUUGAGCUCGUGUCUAGUCUUCUUUCGCCAAUUUCAUGGAUUCAAAGGUAAACAAUAGGAGGGAGACUUUACAAUAGGACGGGAAGGAACAUCAUUAGCCAGCGGUAGUUUUAUUAUCCUUGCAAAGACGUUUUGAUAUUUCUUAUGUAUAAGAUUUAUUGACCAAAAACCUCGAGGUUAAUUUAUAACAAAUUUUAUAAGAUGCAUUUGAAUGAUAUAUAAAGAAUGUUUUUUUAAAAGUACGGGUUCCAUAUGAUAUUAGUCCUUGUCCGGAUGAACUAACUAUCAGGUAUUGCUUUGUCGGGUUGAAAAGCCGAGUGAUAUCCGAUAGGAGGGUUGGUGUUCUUUGGUUGUUGGUCUAAGGUGAUUGGAAGUAUUCUAAGAACCUCGGAUCGACCAUCGAGGAACAUCGACCGUGUCAUUACUGGUCAUCUACAAUCAGGGGUGUCACAAAUAUUGUAUCAGAGCAUGGUUAUACGAUGCUAGAGUGGGACUUGUUUCCAAUGUUUUUCGAGUCAAUAUGAGUCGUAAGGAUAACUAGGAUAUGCUGGCUGGUUCCUUCAUUUUAGGAUAGACAGUCAUGGGUAGUUACCUAACUGUGAUCUUUAAUAGCAGAGCCACCGAGACAAGCUUAACAAGGUGGACCGUACUUUCCGAUUUUGAUCCCAUCAUGUUUGAGUUUGCUACCGUCAAGCUCUGAUCUGUUAUCUUUAUGCUCCGACUCGUUACUAUCAUGCUAGGAAUCGGUAACGUCAUGAUUUUCUGCCGCGCUUUUGAGUUCUAGUGGGGGAUACCAAUUCUUUAGAGAUAAAUAUGGGAUAUUUUUGAUACAUCGAAUACAUCUCCGGACUCGUGUGUUAUCAAUGUUAAAGUGGGCGUUGUUUGAGUUCUGAUUUAGAGCGAUUCGACUGCACAUGAUCACUUAGAUGCACUUAUUCUUCCGGCUUCUCAUAUCUGUCCAGCUUAUGUUGAAACGUACAAGCACCAGAGCCGUACAAGCCUGAAUUGUUUUGCACUUAUUUCAAGCUUAGCAUUGGAGGAAGAGAUGGUUUGACUGUAUUAAAAGAUGAUAGAACCACCAGAAGCAUUCUGUUUACAACGAGAUAUCAUGAAGCUUAUGAUGCAACGAAGACGAAUUUGGUACCAGAAGAUACUGAAGAAAGACUAAACCAUUCGAGGUAUACUUUGGCUUAAGGAAGAUUUGGGAUGCAACACUCAGAAAAGAAUAUUGACGUGGCCGUUGUUCAGAGAACUACAAGAAGGAUUUGGCAGCAAGCUAUUUGGAGAUGAAUGCGAUGAGUUGUUGGUCGAGAGUCAAGCAUUACUUCAGAGAGGUGAAAUCUAGUUGGACAGAUUUCGAGAGUUCAAGAAGUAGUAUUGUCUACACAAGUUAUGGGACCGAUUGAAGAUUCAGUUUAUGAAGUUGGUACAGUGAGAUAUUUCUGCCAGGAGGUUCACGUCGAAUUAAUCAUAUACAAAAAUUUCAGAAGUGAGAUAUGUGGUCGAGUGAAUUUGCUUCAUCGAUUAUGGUUAGAGAAUGAGCCAAAGAUCUUACAGAAAAUCUUUGGGAACUUAGCCAAUUAAUUUAGAGUAGAUAAAAUACAAUGGAGCUUCCAAGCUUCGAGGAGAUGUUAGAGUAUGACAUGAAUAUUAAAGAAGUUAUUGCUGAAGAAGUUUAUCAAAUCCUACAGACCGUUUAAUUUUCAACCAGUGAAGAUCGAAGGUCAGUUCAAGCAGUGGAUUAAGUCGCUGGGAUGAUUUUGGGUGUACGUUUCAUCAGAUCAAGAUCGAGGAGCCUGAGUUGUUAUGGUUGUGACUUGCCAGGACAGAAUAGUCGGUAUCGUCCAAGUGCGAGAAAUUCUUGAUUGUUUUCAUCAUUGCGCUUUGGUGAUUCUCUUGUGAAGAGUAAGGAUGAUUAUUUUACCCUUGCCCAUGAAGUUACUUGAUUCUUUUACCUAUACCUAGGGUACUAGUUGAUGGGCUUAUUCGUGUCGCCUUACCAUUAGUCAUGAUCCAAGUGUUAGGCUAUUUGGAUAGAACAUACACUUUAUAGUUGCAUGGACCGUCAAAACCUCUAAUUGGUCCAAUCACAUGUUUGCUUCUUAUCCCGUUGUGUGUUGUAUGCAUUUAAUAAAAAAAUAUUAUGAAUGAUUGAAUAAAUAAGUAAAUAUGUGAUCAAGGUAUCGUAAGAGACCUUGUCAAUGGACGAAAUUUUUCCACCCAUAUUGUGGUUGAUUCAGGAACAACACAUAGAUGUAGUUCCCGAGCAGUGUCAUAGUUUUAAGGAGGAUUCACUUUGGUGAAUUCAAGUAUCCAUUUUUAUUUUUGGAAGUACUGGCUGCCAUUGAAAGUUAUGCUAUGCCUUCCACAUUCCAAAGUACUUCUGUUAGAGCGGUAUGUUUCUAGAAUGAGAUUGGCUACCUAGUUACCGAGCUCAAUUAGGAUGUUGAGGAAAGAAGUCUUUUGAACAAGACCAGUUAUCGUUGGCCUACAAUGGUAUUCUACCAAGUGUUUGAGCCUCGCUCAUAUCAGUCUGAGUGUUUGACAACCUUUUAGAAAAAGGUAAAGUGGUGUAUUCUACUAUUCUGAUCAUUGGGAGAGUAGAAGAUUAAAAGGAGCAUAGUAUAGAGGACAGUUUGAUAAUCAGAGAUUCGAAGAUAUGUUAAGGCGCUGGAAUGGUUGUUUCCAUCUAGAAAUUACCCGUUCAAUAUUCUUGUUGAACAUGGAUUUAUUGUAAUAGCCUAGGCAUCUCACCAAAUGGUUCGAGCCGAGUUCUAGUAGGACUUAGAAGAUUUGUUUGAAGAAAGGUUUCGUUCGACCUAGAUCCUUUAUGUGGGGAGUUCCCAUUUCAGAGCUAAAGAAGAAGAACAAGGGUUUGUGGAUAUGUUCGACUAUCGGUAAAUCAAUGACGUGAGCAUCAGGGUCAAGUAUCGAUUUUCUAGAAUUGAUGAGUGGUUAAGACCGCUUGCAGGGUGAAAUUUUUUUUCAAGGACGUUGUGGGAACCAAAUUUUGCACCGUCAAUUUCAGUUAAAUUAGGAAAGUUAGGAAACCCUUAAUUUUCCAGAGGUCCUGGAUUUCUGCUAAGCCAAACGUCAACAAAUCAGAUAACGUAAACAAGCGUAAAUUAUAACUUGAAUCAAGUGAAAAGAGAGCAAAUAAGAUCUUAUUACGAAUUUACGUAUAAGCGUUUACAACAGGUAAAGCCUUGGCCGCAAGAGCUAUUGGCGAGUUCCUAGUUCUAACCACCUAAGACUUGAAAACCUAGUUGAUUCGCAGCUCGAAAACAAAAAUUGAAAAUUGCCUAAUAUUGAUCUAAGUGCUAAGUUUGCUAUGUGUGUGUGUAAAAGUUCUAUCUUGCGACUCUCGCCUUCGCGUCCCUUAUAUACUUUUUCUAGGUCGGUUUGGGCUUUCCUUUUCAGCCCUUGGGUCGAGUUUAUAUUCUCGCAGAAAUAUUCCAUUUUCCCAAUCUUCAUGAUUAUCCCUUGAAACUUGAAUUUUAUCUCUGAACUUGACAUUUUUCUUCCAACUUGAUAGAUAUCUUUUCUCGCGAAUAUUCGAUAAACUGUCAUAGUGACGUUGGGCUGAUUCUCGUAAAGAAUCGUAAGUGGGCCUUUGCCACGUUUUAGACCCCUUGGGUCGUUUUUCGGCUAAAAUGUUUUUACGAUUUCUUUUGGGGGAUUUGCUGUUAGUACGACGUCGGUUUUACAAAAUAGCUGAAAUAAAUCGUAUAGCGGAGAUAACCAUGGUGUUAAGUUAACUGUUAUCGUUUAAUACGACCGAUCCAAACUCAUUCGAGAAAAUAAGUCUUCAUCGUUUUUAUCGUAAAGUUUCAACGGUAACUCCGAUCGAGACGAAACAAGAAACAGUUUGACCGAGACCCGAAAGAGGGAUUUCCGGAGAAGAGAAUGCAUGGUGUGGGACUGAUCCAACUCACCUAAUGGUGAAUCGGACAAGGCUGAUCCAACUCUCCAUUGGGUGAGUUGGACUUGGUUCAUCCAACUCGCCAUUGGGCGAGUUUGACUUGGCUUAUCCAACUUGCCCGAUGGCGGGUCGGACGAUGUUGGUUUGAUUGUUCCGAUGCUUUGGAAUCGUCUGUUCGAGAGAUUGAAUGAUCCCUUCCGAGGACCUUGUCGCACAAUACUCUUAAAAAUACGAAGUUUUAGUUUUCCUUAUUUUUAUUUUCUUUACAUAAAGGUUUCUCGAGAACUUUCCGACAUUGAUUUCGUCGUUACCGAUUUUGACCCCAAUAGUGUAGCCCCCAGCUCGGGAUCAAUGGAAGAAAGUCAGAGGGCAAAUAGUAUUUUUUUCUUUUCAAUAAGUAUGUGGAGUAAGUUUUAAAAUCUUUACUUGCUCACUUCCACAAGAAUUUCUUAAGGUAGAAAAAUCGUUCUCUCCCUUUGUCUGCUUUAUUGUUCUUGAUAAUGUCUUCAUACCAGAGAGCUUCAGACAAUGUUUUUCCUUCUCGCUUUGAUCCUGAGAGCCUUUGUUCCCAAGAUGGCCAAACUGUCGUAAAGGCUGAAUUCAUGGCACAUCCCGUCAAUCCUAAGGAAGCCGAUGCAUAUUGGCUGGCUACGUGCGACCUAAAGGCUCCUCCGCAUGAGUCGGGGUUCCUCCUAAGUCUAGUAACCAAAGAAUUGCUGGCUGUCCGAACCACAAUUUUUCUUCGUACCUCGAUGUCAUCAGACGUUUCUGCCGCGUUCCGGACUCGAUGGAGUUUCGACUUCCACAGGCCGGGGAACGUUCUGAUGCUCCUCUGGAUGGCUACUUCACAUUCUACGACGCUUAUCUGUUGCGUUGUCAUUUGUAGUUCCCCAUCCCUAAGAUAAUUUUUCAAAUCUUGGAUCGGUUUGGAUUGUCGAUAAGUUAGAUUUCUCUUACUGGCUUGCAACAUCCAUGACUCUAGACGCCGAUUAUCUUGAGACUUUGUUGAUGCCAGUGGCAGUUUAAGGGUCGCGAAUGUGUCGUUUGAACCCGAGGCCGAAUAUAGCGAUAAUCAAGGAAUUCUCUUCGAAUUCCACGGGUUUCGGAAAAUCUAUUUUUCGUACGCAUAGACAGUGCAUUCGUCGAGGAGGGCUGCAUCCCCAUUUUUAGGAGUCAAUGGGGUCAAAAGGGUAUCUUGAUCGGAUAUCCGUUAGUUUUUUUUCGAGGAUAUCUAACCUUGUCCCCAUUCUCUUUGUUUUGCAUUGACUAAUUCUCUUCCUUCGUGUCCCGAGGAUAUACGCAUCGUUAGUAAUCUUAUCCGGGACGGACCUUACUUUUGGGGCCACUAUUCCCUGAGACGAGUUCUUCUUGCAAUGGCUUACCAUUGUUCUCGACUUCAGCCCGAUUUGCCAGUUGAAGAAGAAUCGGAACCGAGUAUGGAGGAGUUUGUUCCUUAAGAAAUUCGGGGUGAAAGGGAGAGGUCAAGGUCUCCCAAGAUUAAGCAGAUCGCCGUUGAUGGUGACGAUGAUGCAAUUUACGGGUUGGAGUGUCCAACGGACGAAUCAUUCCGCAACUUCCUUAAUAGCCAGGCUAGUGGAAGCGGCACUGAUCAGGCUGACCCUCCAGGAUUCGACACCUUUGAAAACUUUUUUGACUUCGGGAGGCCCUCGAUUGUAAGGGAGCAUGUCGAGUUGAAGGCGUCAAGGAUGUGCAACAAAAAUUUUCGUAGGGUCUUCACCUCAUGACCGAGGCUCUUAAGGCGAGUCACACGGAAGCGCGCACAACCGUAUUUAAGGCCGAGGUGGUAGAGAAGGAGAUCGUCCAUUUGAAAGAUGAGGUCGAAGCGAACUCUCUUUGUGAGAAGGAGUUGGCUGUGAGGGAAACUCGUCGAGCGUACAUGAAGGGGAAAAAAGAUGUCGCUGAUAUCGUGAAGAAGCGCUUCACAUGAGUUUACGAACGAGUUCGGGUAGUUGAAAAAGACGUACAACUCUAUUGGUGAUUACCGCGAGUGUCGUGGUGCCGUUGGCGGGUUGUACCUUCCACGAGCUCCUGAAUAUUCUUACGAAAAAGAGUUGGCUAAGCAGACCAGUCGUAUGCAUAACAAUGCGGACAUGGCUUCUGUGUCCCUCAGAUGGAAGAGAGGAGUUGGGAUCAGUGGGCUCCGAUCUGAUACGCCCAAAUUAGGGAAGUAUCACUCAGCCAGACUUGGAUAUGAACUCAGACGGUUUGAAUGAGAACUGAUGGAUUGAAUGGUGACACAAUAGGGGAGGAAAGUCUCUUGAUACUACCAGACUUCAGUUGUUGCUUGAUAUGACGCACAAGUCCAACAAAAGAAGGGUUCCUACAUAUUUAUACUAGUGUGUAGUCAAAGAGAAAUAAAGAAACACACGGAAAA
Molecule: long non-coding RNA, 10522 nt
Organism: Brassica napus (rape)
Lineage: Eukaryota; Viridiplantae; Streptophyta; Magnoliopsida; Brassicales; Brassicaceae
Exons: 4
Source: RefSeq, a predicted model, not a curated record